Molecule: long non-coding RNA, 312 nt
Filed under: Physcomitrium patens
Lineage: Eukaryota; Viridiplantae; Streptophyta; Bryopsida; Funariales; Funariaceae
Description: long non-coding RNA (PPAT_LNC010341)
Source: RNAcentral
CUUAAUAAAAUCCUAAUUAAAAUCCUAAUUAAAUUUUAAUAAAAUCUUAGAUUAAAUCUUUAUGAAAUCUUAAUAAAAUCUUCAAUCCUAGAUAAUUCCUAAAAAAAAUUUAGAUGAAUUCUAAUCAAAUCUUAAUAAAUUUUUAAUCCAAAUACUAAUUAGAUUCUAUUCAAGUUUUAAACCAAAUCCUAAUCCUAACCAAAUUCUUAAUAAAUCCUAAUAUUAAUCAAAUCUCAAACAAAUUCUAAUCAAAUCCUAGAUUUUAAACAAAAUUUUAACAAUUCAUAUAGCAAAAUAGAAUCUCAACAACUA